CUGCCAGUAGUCAUAUGCUUGUCUCAAAGAUUAAGCCAUGCAUGUCUAAGUCCAAGCUGUGUUCACACGGCGAGACCGCGGACGGCUCAUUAAAUCAGUCGUGGUCCAAAUGGGCCAGUGCAAAUCCUACUUGGAUAACUGUGGUAAUUCCAGAGCUAAUACAUGCAACUGAUAUCCCGAAGGCGGUGUUGGGGCUUGCUUGCCUUGCGCUGCGCUGCUCUGACGGAUGCUUUUAUUAGACCAAGCCGCUGAGGACUUGAGGGUUCGCGCUCUCUUGUUUGACUCGUGUGAUGGUGACUCUGGAUAACCAAAUUCUGACAAGCGCACGUACUUCUCUUCUGAGCGAGACGGCGCUGCCACUUUCGAGUGUCUGCCUUAUCAGCUAUCAACCGUUCGUUAUGCGCGACCGAUGGCUUUGACGGGUAACGGGGAAUCAGGGUUCGAUUCCGGAGAGGCAGCCUGAGAGACGGCUACCACGUCCAAGGACGGCAGCAGGCACGCAAAUUACCCAAUCCCAGCAAAUGGGGGAGGUAGUGACGAAAUCUAACGAUGCGGGCGCCCUUUCUGGGGCCCCGCAAUCGGAAUGGGCACUUUCUAAACAACCUGUUGAGAAC
RNAcentral lists this ribosomal RNA (614 nucleotides) under Eulimnogammarus verrucosus. RNAcentral's name for it is "SSU rRNA". It matches the Rfam family "Eukaryotic small subunit ribosomal RNA", at positions 14 to 544 of the family's 1831-position model. The record is from RNAcentral. Lineage: Eukaryota; Metazoa; Arthropoda; Malacostraca; Amphipoda; Eulimnogammaridae.